GGAACCUAGAAAUUCUUGAUGUUCUGUUUUUGUCAGCAAUGUUUGAACACGAUGUUCAAACAAGCCGCCGCUGAGCCAUGGACGGUGAAUCGGCGGCGGUUGCGUCCGUUAUCAAUUCCUAAUAUCAGAACAGCUUAGAAUUUCUUGGUUUCA
This 153-nucleotide non-coding RNA is filed under the name human gut metagenome. The record is from RNAcentral.